Vespa mandarinia (Asian giant hornet) is the source of this 888-nucleotide long non-coding RNA. NCBI's taxonomy places the organism in Eukaryota, Metazoa, Arthropoda, Insecta, Hymenoptera, Vespidae. The record is from RefSeq and is a predicted model, not a curated record.
AUGUGUGGCAUCACCGAGAGACAGAAAGACAAAUGUGAUUGCCAUAACCUCUAUCACAACUGAGGACAAUAAAAAAUAUGUUGUCAGAAAAUGAAAAAUUUGCAAGUAACCACAGCGGACUAACAAAAACAGAAUGCUAUAAGAGAAUGAAAAAAAGCCUCAAUCAAAGAGGGCAAGAAAGAAGAAUAUGGAUUAAAUGCACACAGGAAAUGGAGAGGCAUGUUUAGACUGGCACUCAGCAACACUAACAGCAUUGACAAUGGAGGCUGGUUGGAACGAAUGGAAACAGAAAUUCUUGACAUCAUUUGCAGACAAGGGAUGAAGUAUAAGUAUAUACGCUAUAUCCUACAGAUAUAAAGAAGGUUCACUAAUGGAGUACGCUAUGAGGAAAGAAAAACUAUUACUGGAUAUGGACAAUAAUAUCAGUACAAAGACUCUGAUGAUGCUUAUAGCAGCAGGAUUACCAGAAUUCAUAAGAGAUAAAAUAGAGAAAAUUGUCAAAGCUCAACAGAAUUACUACAAGAAAUAAAAAAAUGUGAAAAUCUAGUAAGUAAGAACAGUUUUACAAAAAAGAAAGAGGAAAAACAAGAUAAUAAGAAGAAAUUUGAAGAAAAGAAACCAUGUAAGAAUUGUGAAAAACUAAACAAAGGUAUUAGAUAUCAUUCAGAGGACUCCUGUUGGUUCAAAAAGGAAAAUAGAAAGGAAACCAGAAUAAAUGGAAGCAAUUCGAUGAUAGAAAUGGACCUAUGCAAGGAACAAAAAAACGAAUAACCACACCAUUGAUCAAAGUAAGGAUAGUAUUAGAAAAGAAGUUAAAGGUAAACGGAACAUAUGACCUAGGUUCCCAGGUCUCUCUAAUAAAUUCGAGACUAGUCAAAAUAAAAAAAA